This 428-nucleotide ribosomal RNA is filed under the name Hepatozoon felis. Its description in RNAcentral is "SSU rRNA". It matches the Rfam family "Eukaryotic small subunit ribosomal RNA", at positions 499 to 924 of the family's 1831-position model. Lineage: Eukaryota; Apicomplexa; Hepatozoidae. The record is from RNAcentral.
UGUUUUGUAAUUGGAAUGAUAGAAAUUUAAACACUUUUUAAAGUAUCAAUUGGAGGGCAAGUCUGGUGCCAGCAGCCGCGGUAAUUCCAGCUCCAAUAGCGUAUAUUAAAAUUGUUGCAGUUAAAAAGCUCGUAGUUGAAUUUCUGCUAAAAAUAACCGGUCUGCUUUAAAUAAAAGUGGUAUCUUGGUGUGUUUUUAGCAAUAAUGUCCUUUGAAAUGUUUUUUACUUCAUUGUAAUAGAUUAUAUUAAGGAUUUUUACUUUGAGAAAAUUAGAGUGUUUCUAGCAGGCUAACGCUUUGAAUACUGCAGCAUGGAAUAAUAAAAUAGGAUUUUGGUUCUACAUUAUUGGUUUUAAGAGCUAAAUUAAUGAUUGAUAGGGACAGUUGGGGGCAUUUGUAUUUAACUGUCAGAGGUGAAAAUUCUUAGA